UAAAUUACACAUAGCAUAAAGUUUUCCAUUUCAACCAUUUUUAAGUGUCCAGUUCAAUGGCAUUAAUUACAUUCACACUGUUCAGCAAUUUCCAGAACUGUUCUUCA
Long non-coding RNA from Mustela erminea (ermine), 107 nucleotides. RefSeq lists it as uncharacterized. The record is from RefSeq and is a predicted model, not a curated record. The transcript has 4 exons. Lineage: Eukaryota; Metazoa; Chordata; Mammalia; Carnivora; Mustelidae.